GCCGAAGUGGCGGAAUUGGUAGACGCGCACGUUUCAGGGGCGUGUGAGCGAAAGUUCGUGUGGGUUCGAGUCCCACCUUCGGCACCA
Molecule: transfer RNA, 87 nt
Filed under: Flavobacteriales bacterium
Lineage: Bacteria; Pseudomonadati; Bacteroidota; Flavobacteriia; Flavobacteriales
Description: tRNA-Leu
Rfam family: tRNA
About the family: Transfer RNA (tRNA) molecules are approximately 80 nucleotides in length. Their secondary structure includes four short double-helical elements and three loops (D, anti-codon, and T loops).
Source: RNAcentral